This 253-nucleotide ribosomal RNA is filed under the name uncultured bacterium. RNAcentral's name for it is "partial 16S ribosomal RNA". It matches the Rfam family "Bacterial small subunit ribosomal RNA", at positions 524 to 776 of the family's 1533-position model. The record is from RNAcentral.
UACGAAGGGUGCAAGCGUUACUCGGAAUUACUGGGCGUAAAGCGUGCGCAGGCGGUGAUGUAAGACAGAUGUGAAAUCCCCGGGCUCAACCUGGGAACUGCAUUUGUGACUGCAUCGCUGGAGUACGGCAGAGGGGGAUGGAAUUCCGCGUGUAGCAGUGAAAUGCGUAGAUAUGCGGAGGAACACCGAUGGCGAAGGCAAUCCCCUGGGCCUGUACUGACGCUCAUGCACGAAAGCGUGGGGAGCAAACAGG